RNAcentral lists this ribosomal RNA (254 nucleotides) under uncultured bacterium. RNAcentral's name for it is "partial 16S ribosomal RNA". It matches the Rfam family "Archaeal small subunit ribosomal RNA", at positions 474 to 727 of the family's 1478-position model. The record is from RNAcentral.
UACCGGCAGCCCGAGUGAUGACCGCUAUUAUUGGGCCUAAAGCGUCCGUAGCUGGCCGAGCAAGUCCGUCGGGAAAUCCGCGCGCUUAACGUGCGGGCGUCCGGCAGAAACUGUUCGGCUUGGGACCGGAAGACCCGAGGGGUACGUCUGGGGUAGGAGUGAAAUCCCGUAAUCCUGGACGGACCGCCGGUGGCGAAAGCGCCUCGGGAAGACGGAUCCGACGGUGAGGGACGAAAGCUAGGGUCACGAACCGG